This 532-nucleotide ribosomal RNA is filed under the name Salmonella enterica subsp. enterica serovar Derby. RNAcentral describes it as "partial 23S ribosomal RNA". It matches the Rfam family "Bacterial large subunit ribosomal RNA", at positions 114 to 687 of the family's 2925-position model. Lineage: Bacteria; Pseudomonadati; Pseudomonadota; Gammaproteobacteria; Enterobacterales; Enterobacteriaceae. RNAcentral also lists the same sequence under 4 other names. The record is from RNAcentral.
CCGAAUGGGGAAACCCAGUGUGAUUCGUCACACUAUCAUUAACUGAAUCCAUAGGUUAAUGAGGCGAACCGGGGGAACUGAAACAUCUAAGUACCCCGAGGAAAAGAAAUCAACCGAGAUUCCCCCAGUAGCGGCGAGCGAACGGGGAGGAGCCCAGAGCCUGAAUCAGCAUGUGUGUUAGUGGAAGCGUCUGGAAAGGCGCGCGAUACAGGGUGACAGCCCCGUACACAAAAGCGCAUGUGCUGUGAGCUCGAUGAGUAGGGCGGGACACGUGGUAUCCUGUCUGAAUAUGGGGGGACCAUCCUCCAAGGCUAAAUACUCCUGACUGACCGAUAGUGAACCAGUACCGUGAGGGAAAGGCGAAAAGAACCCCGGCGAGGGGAGUGAAAAAGAACCUGAAACCGUGUACGUACAAGCAGUGGGAGCACAGGUUUACCUGUGUGACUGCGUACCUUUUGUAUAAUGGGUCAGCGACUUAUAUUCUGUAGCAAGGUUAACCGUAUAGGGGAGCCGCAGGGAAACCGAGUCUUAA